Molecule: ribosomal RNA, 492 nt
Filed under: uncultured bacterium
Lineage: Bacteria
Description: partial 16S ribosomal RNA
Rfam family: Bacterial small subunit ribosomal RNA
Source: RNAcentral
AGUGAACGCUGGCGGUAGUCCUAACACAUGCAAGUCGAACGGCAGCACAGUAAGAGCUUGCUCUUACGGGUGGCGAGUGGCGGACGGGUGAGGAAUACAUCGGAAUCUACUUUUUCGUGGGGGAUAACGUAGGGAAACUUACGCUAAUACCGCAUACGACCUACGGGUGAAAGCAGGGGAUCUUCGGACCUUGCGCGAUUGAAUGAGCCGAUGUCGGAUUAGUUAGUUGGCGGGGUAAAGGCCCACCAAGGCGAGGAUCCGUAGCUGGUCUGAGAGGAUGAUCAGCCACACUUGAACUGAGACACGCUCCAGACUCCUACGGGAGGCAGCAGUGGGGAAUAUUGGACAAUGGGCGGAAGCCUGAUCAAGCCAUACCGCGUGGGUGAAGAAAGCCUUCGGGUUGUAAAGCCCUUUUGUUGGGAAAGAAAAGCAGCAGGUUAAUAACCCGCUGUUCUGACGGUACCCAAAGAAUAAGCACCGGCUAACUUCGUG